This is a long non-coding RNA of Nicotiana attenuata, 101 nucleotides long. RefSeq lists it as uncharacterized. Lineage: Eukaryota; Viridiplantae; Streptophyta; Magnoliopsida; Solanales; Solanaceae. The record is from RefSeq and is a predicted model, not a curated record. The transcript is spliced from 3 exons.
AAGAACAACAACUCUAGUCGAUUUGGAAAGUUGAUGGAAAUUCAUUUUAGUGCAACAGGAAGGAUAUGCAGUGCUAAAAUACAAACCUUACUUCUUGAAAA